This 316-nucleotide ribosomal RNA is filed under the name uncultured soil bacterium. RNAcentral's name for it is "bacterial SSU rRNA". It matches the Rfam family "Bacterial small subunit ribosomal RNA", at positions 26 to 345 of the family's 1533-position model. The record is from RNAcentral.
AGAUUGAACGCUGGCGGCAUGCCUUACACAUGCAAGUCGAACGCGAAAGCGGAGCAAUCCGCAAGUAGAGUGGCGAACGGGUGAGUAAUACAUCGGAACAUUUCCAGUAGCGGGGGAUAACCUGUCGAAAGAUAGGCUAAUACCGCAUACGACCUACGGGUGAAAGCGGAGGACCGCAAGGCUUCGCACUAUUGGAGUGGCCGAUGUCGGAUUAGCUAGUUGGCGGGGUAAAAGCCCACCGAGGCUACGAUCCGUAGCUGGUCUGAGAGGACGAUCAGCCACACUGGAACUGAGACACGGUCCAGACUCCUACGGG